UUGGAGGGCAAGUCUGGUGCCAGCAGCCGCGGUAAUUCCAGCUCCAAUAGCGUAUAUUAAAGUUGUUGCAGUUAAAAAGCUCGUAGUUGAAUUUCGGGGUCAGUAGGUUGGUCAUGCCACAGGUAUGUACUGGUCUCACUGGUUCCUCCUUCCUGAUGAACUGUAAUGCCAUUAAUUUGGUGUUGCGGGGAAUCUGGACUGUUACUUUGAAAAAAUUAGAGUGUUUAAAGCAGGCUAACGCCUGAAUACAUUAGCAUGGAAUAAUGAAAUAGGACGUUCGAUCCUAUUUUGUUGGUUUCUAGGAUUGACGUAAUGAUUAAUAGGGAUAGUUGGGGGCAUUAGUAUUCAAUUGUCAGAGGUGAAAUUCUUGGAUUUAUUGAAGACUAACUACUGCGAAAGCAUUUGCCAAGGAUGUUUUCAUUAAUCAAGAACGAAAGUUAGGGGAUCGAAGACGAUCAGAUACCGUCGUAGUCUUAACCAUAAACUAUGCCGACUAGGGAUCGGAUGAUGUUAAUUUUUUAAUGACUCAUUCGGCGCCUUACGGGAAAC
RNAcentral lists this ribosomal RNA (549 nucleotides) under uncultured Rhizophagus. RNAcentral describes it as "SSU rRNA". It matches the Rfam family "Eukaryotic small subunit ribosomal RNA", at positions 548 to 1098 of the family's 1831-position model. Lineage: Eukaryota; Fungi; Glomeromycota; Glomeromycetes; Glomerales; Glomeraceae. The record is from RNAcentral.